RNAcentral lists this ribosomal RNA (405 nucleotides) under uncultured bacterium. Its description in RNAcentral is "partial 16S ribosomal RNA". It matches the Rfam family "Bacterial small subunit ribosomal RNA", at positions 28 to 526 of the family's 1533-position model. The record is from RNAcentral.
GAUGAACGCUGACAGAAUGCUUAACACAUGCAAGUCAACUUGUGGAGGACUGGUGAGUACCGCGUAAAGAACUUGCCUAACUGAUAGGGACAACAUUUGGAAACGAAUGCUAAUACCUGAUACUGUGAGAGAGCUUUGCCUCCCAUUAGCUAGUUGGAGAGGGAACGGCACACCAAGGCGAUGAUGGGUAGCCAGCCUGAGAGGGUGGUCGGGCACAAGGGGACUGAGACACGGCCCUUAAUCCUACGGGAGGCAGCAGUGGGGAAUAUUGGACAAUUGACCAAAGUCUGUUCCAGCAAUUCUGUGUGCACGAUGAAGUUUUCGGAAUGUAAAGUGCUUUCAGUUGGGAAGCGGUACCAACAGAAGAAGUGACGGCUAAAUACGUGCCAGCCGCCGCGGGAAUAC